CCUACGGGAGGCAGCAGUGGGGAAUAUUGCGCAAUGGGCGAAAGCCUGACGCAGCGACGCCGCGUGAGGGAUGAAGGUUCUCGGAUCGUAAACCUCUGUCAGGGGGGAAGAAACCCCCUCGUGUGAAUAAUGCGAGGGCUUGACGGUACCCCCAAAGGAAGCACCGGCUAACUCCGUGCCAGCAGCCGCGGUAAUACGGAGGGUGCAAGCGUUAAUCGGAAUCACUGGGCGUAAAGCGCACGUAGGCGGCUUGGUAAGUCAGGGGUGAAAUCCCACAGCCCAACUGUGGAACUGCCUUUGAUACUGCCAGGCUUGAGUACCGGAGAGGGUGGCGGAAUUCCAGGUGUAGGAGUGAAAUCCGUAGAUAUCUGGAGGAACACCGGUGGCGAAGGCGGCCACCUGGACGGUAACUGACGCUGAGGUGCGAAAGCGUGGGUAG
This 439-nucleotide ribosomal RNA is filed under the name uncultured Desulfovibrio sp. Its description in RNAcentral is "bacterial SSU rRNA". It matches the Rfam family "Bacterial small subunit ribosomal RNA", at positions 338 to 768 of the family's 1533-position model. Lineage: Bacteria; Pseudomonadati; Thermodesulfobacteriota; Desulfovibrionia; Desulfovibrionales; Desulfovibrionaceae. The record is from RNAcentral.